RNAcentral lists this non-coding RNA (30 nucleotides) under Rattus norvegicus (Norway rat). Lineage: Eukaryota; Metazoa; Chordata; Mammalia; Rodentia; Muridae. The record is from RNAcentral.
UGUGCUAGUGCUGAAGACGUGCUCACUGCA